CCUACGGGUGGCUGCAGUGGGGAAUAUUGCACAAUGGGGGAAACCCUGAUGCAGCAACGCCGCGUGAGUGAAGAAGUAUUUCGGUAUGUAAAGCUCUAUCAGCAGGGAAGAAGAUUACGGUACCUGAUUAAGUAGCCCCGGCCAACUACGUUCCAGCAGCCGCGGUAAAACGUAGGGGGCAAGCGUUAUCCGGAUUUACUGGGUGUAAAGGGGGCGUAGGCGGCAGUGCAAGUCUGGAGUGAAAGCCGGGGGCCCAACCCCGGAACUGCUUUGGAAACUGUGCGGCUGGAGUGAUGGAGGGGCAGGCGGAAUGCCGAGUGUAGCGGUGAAAUGCGUAGAUAUUAGGAGGAACACCAGUGGCGAAGGCGGCCUGCUGGACAGUAACUGACGCUGAGGCGCGAAAGCGUGGGGAGCAAACAGGAUUAGAUACCCCUGUAGUC
This 440-nucleotide ribosomal RNA is filed under the name uncultured bacterium. RNAcentral describes it as "partial 16S ribosomal RNA". It matches the Rfam family "Bacterial small subunit ribosomal RNA", at positions 338 to 795 of the family's 1533-position model. The record is from RNAcentral.